GAACAACCUCUUCAAAAAGAGAUAAACAACACUACACAGGGUGCUGCUGGGUGGUCACUGACAACACAUUUACUUCAAAGAGAAAUGGCUGUCAGGUGACUCACAGCCACAGGAAAUAAAGAACAAGAGAGCGAGGGAGAUGAAAACCAAAUACAAAUAACAGAGCUGAAGAGAUUAAAUCAGAAUGCUUCUCAGCAAUGAAGCGAUGUGACUAGCCUCUUGGGUGGUCUUUUAUU
Molecule: long non-coding RNA, 236 nt
Filed under: Bos taurus (domestic cattle)
Lineage: Eukaryota; Metazoa; Chordata; Mammalia; Artiodactyla; Bovidae
Description: long non-coding RNA NONBTAT018696
Source: RNAcentral